UUCUUUCUACCGUGCAAGCAUUUACAUUUACAAUACUAAUUUUCUACAGCUUUCUAUUUUAUUAGCAACUUUUAUUUCCUUUUCUUUUCCAGUCAAGCUUUCAAGCAUUCAAUUAAUUUUUCACACAAUAGUUUCUACACCGGAAACUAUUGUGUAACUUUUACUGGAUCUAACCUUACGUUAGGUCAGAGUAUUUUAUUCCUUCGUUUUUAUUUUU
This 217-nucleotide long non-coding RNA is filed under the name Lathyrus oleraceus (garden pea). Its description in RNAcentral is "Pisum sativum (pea) long non-coding RNA (PSAT_LNC016438)". Lineage: Eukaryota; Viridiplantae; Streptophyta; Magnoliopsida; Fabales; Fabaceae. The record is from RNAcentral.